AUGAAAGUUAGUCAACACCUUUAUUUUGGUGUUUUUUUACAUAAAUGCAGGUUUUUAGAAAGUUGUGACAUGCAACACCCACUGUCAUUUUUCCAGAAUCUCACAGGUAGGUUACGCAAGAAAUCAUGUCAGCCAAUGGUGAUGUACACACCUUUUAUAGCUCCACCCCAACAGAUUAUAAUAACUCCCUCUGCAAGGCUUUGCAGAUCCACACAAAGGAGUUCAGCUCUACGUGGAGAAACAAGAGCAAAAUGGGUAUCAGCCAGUUACUGAAUAAGCCUUCAGGUGGGGAUAAAGAAAUGAAUCCAGAAUAUCAAGUGGUCACUAUGCAGCCGGAAGUUAAUGUGAUCAUCACUCCACUGAAUAACCCACCAGAUUACAUGCGUUUCUCCAUCUUUACCACGCUGUGCUUUUGUUUACCUCCUGGCCUUGCUGCUCUGGUUUUUUCAAUCACAACUCGAAAUGCAAACCUGUUUGGACACCGACAAAUUGCAUACAAAAACUCCAGCAUGGCACGCAAACUUAACCAUGUCAGUCUUGGUAUUGGCAUUACAAUAUAUUUGUUGGUUUUUGGCCUUGUCAUGUAUUUUGGGAUCAGGGUUGCAUUUGCAUGUUUGUUAAUUUUGGUGUCGAAUUUAAUAAGCCUUUAGCUUAAGAAAGUGUGACCAUACGUUAAUGGCCCAUAUUGACAUUAAGUUACUGUCAUACAACUGCCAAGGACUGCGUAUGGGUCAGUGUGUUGGAGAUAGAGCUCAUCGUAAUGUUGUUAAACUUUGGAUGACUGUUAUAUGUUAUGCUUGCAAGAUACUUUUUUGUCAAACUAAAUGUAUGAUAAGGUAAAAUGUUUGUCUCAAUAUUUUAAAUAUAUAUUGUAUAAACAUUAAGGCUUUGUAUAUGAAGAAUAACAAAUGUAUUCAGCAUUCAUUCUAAUCAGAUAUGUACUUGCUGUCAGGUUUUUUUUUAAGUGCAAAACUAUUGACUUUUAUACAUCUUAAAGUGGAUUUUCUGCAAUGGCUUUAAAAAACCUCUCUCUAUGUUUUGGGUUGUUCAUCUAACUUUUUAUAACGUUUCUGGAAUAGCUUUAUGUAAACAUUGUAUUUAUAAACAUCUAGUUUAAAUAAAGGUUAUUAUUACAGACA
Molecule: long non-coding RNA, 1139 nt
Organism: Paramisgurnus dabryanus
Lineage: Eukaryota; Metazoa; Chordata; Actinopteri; Cypriniformes; Cobitidae
Source: RefSeq, a predicted model, not a curated record